GACGAACGCUGGCGGCGUGCUUAACACAUGCAAGUCGAACGGAAAGGCCCUGCUUUUGUGGGGUUCUCGAUUGGCGAACGGGUGAGUAACACGUGAGUAACCUGCCCUUGACUUUGGGAUAACUUCAGGAAACUGGGGCUAAUACCGGAUAGGAGCUCCUGCUGCAUGGUGGGGGUUGGAAAGUUUCGGCGGUUGGGGAUGGACUCGCGGCUUAUCAGCUUGUUGGUGGGGUAGUGGCUUACCAAGGCUUUGACGGGUAGCCGGCCUGAGAGGGUGACCGGCCACAUUGGGACUGAGAUACGGCCCAGACUCCUACGGGAGGCAGCAGUGGGGAAUAUUGCAGAAUGGGCGGAAGCCUGAUGCAGCAACGCCGCGUGCGGGAUGACGGCCUUCGGGUUGUAAACCGAUUUCGACUGUGACGAAGAGUGAGUGACGGUAAUGGGUAAAGAAGCACCGGCUAACUACGUG
This 468-nucleotide ribosomal RNA is filed under the name uncultured bacterium. RNAcentral's name for it is "partial 16S ribosomal RNA". It matches the Rfam family "Bacterial small subunit ribosomal RNA", at positions 28 to 507 of the family's 1533-position model. The record is from RNAcentral.